This 329-nucleotide unclassified non-coding RNA is filed under the name soil metagenome. RNAcentral describes it as "partial contains 5.8S ribosomal RNA, internal transcribed spacer 2, and large subunit ribosomal RNA". The stretch from base 1 to 120 matches the Rfam family "5.8S ribosomal RNA", at positions 35 to 154 of the family's 154-position model. The record is from RNAcentral.
GAUGAAGAACGCAGCGAAAUGCGAUAAGUAGUGUGAAUCGCAGAAUUCAGUGAAUCAUCGAAUCUUUGAACGCACAUUGCGCCCCUUGGUAUCCCGAGGGGCAUGCCUGUUCGAGCGUCAUUUCACCACUCAAGCCUGGCUUGGUGUUGGGCGACGUCCUCUUUGGGGACGCGCCUCGAAACGCUCGGCGGCGUGGCACCGGCUUUAAGCGUAGCAGAAUCUUUCGCUUUGGAAGUCGGGGCCCCGUCUGCCGGAAGACCUGCUCGCAAGGUUGACCUCGGAUCAGGCAGGGAUACCCGCUGAACUUAAGCAUAUCAAUAAGCGGAGGA